This 253-nucleotide ribosomal RNA is filed under the name uncultured bacterium. Its description in RNAcentral is "partial 16S ribosomal RNA". It matches the Rfam family "Bacterial small subunit ribosomal RNA", at positions 524 to 776 of the family's 1533-position model. The record is from RNAcentral.
UACGUAGGUGGCAAGCGUUGUCCGGAUUUAUUGGGUUUAAAGGGUGCGUAGGUGGUCCCAUAAGUCAGUGCUGAAAUAUCCCGGCUUAACCGGGAGGGUGGCAUUGAUACUGCGGGACUUGAGUAAAGUUGAGGUAGGCGGAAUUGACGGUGUAGCGGUGAAAUGCUUAGAUAUCGUCAAGAACACCUAUUGCGAAGGCAGCUUACUAAGCUUUAACUGACACUGAGGCACGAAAGUGUGGGGAUCAAACAGG